RNAcentral lists this ribosomal RNA (468 nucleotides) under uncultured bacterium. RNAcentral's name for it is "partial 16S ribosomal RNA". It matches the Rfam family "Bacterial small subunit ribosomal RNA", at positions 28 to 507 of the family's 1533-position model. The record is from RNAcentral.
GACGAACGCUGGCGGCGUGCCUAACACAUGCAAGUCGAACGGACAGGCCCUGCUCUUGUGGGGUGCUCGUGUGGCGAACGCGUGAGUAUCACGUGAGUAACCUGCCCUUGACAUUGUGAUAACAUCAGGAAACUGGGGCUAAUAUCGGAUAGGAGCUCCUGCUGCACGGUGGGGGUUGGAAAGUUUCGGCGGUUGGGGAUGUACUCGCGGCUUAUCAGCUUCUUGGUGGAGUAGUGGCUUUCCAAGGUUUUGACGGCUAGGCGGCCUGGGAGGGUGACCGGCGACAUGGGGACUACGAGACGGACCAGACUCCAACGGGAGGCAGCGGGGGGAAGUCUGGCACAGUGGGCGGAAGCCUGAUGCAGCAGCGCCGCGUGCGGAAUGACGGCCUUCGGGUUAAAAACCACUUUCGCCUGUGACAAAGCGGGAGUGACGGUAAUGGGUAAAGAAGCACCGGCUAACUACGUG